This 490-nucleotide ribosomal RNA is filed under the name uncultured bacterium. RNAcentral's name for it is "partial 16S ribosomal RNA". It matches the Rfam family "Bacterial small subunit ribosomal RNA", at positions 30 to 507 of the family's 1533-position model. The record is from RNAcentral.
AUUGAACGCUGGCGGCAGGCCUAACACAUGCAAGUCGAACGGUAACAGGAAGCAGCUUGCUGCUUUGCUGACGAGUGGCGGACGGGUGAGUAAUGUCUGGGAAACUGCCUGAUGGAGGGGGAUAACUACUGGAAACGGUAGCUAAUACCGCAUAACGUCGCAAGACCAAAGGGGGGGGCCUUCGGGCCUCUUGCCAUCGGAUGUGCCCAGAUGGGAUUAGCUAGUAGGUGGGGUAACGGCUCACCUAGGCGACGAUCCCUAGCUGGUCUGAGAGGAUGACCAGCCACACUGGAACUGAGACACGGUCCAGACUCCUACGGGAGGCAGCAGUGGGGAAUAUUGCACAAUGGGCGCAAGCCUGAUGCAGCCAUGCCGCGUGUAUGAAGAAGGCCUUCGGGUUGUAAAGUACUUUCAGCGGGGAGGAAGGGAGUAAAGUUAAUACCUUUGCUCAUUGACGUUACCCGCAGAAGAAGCACCGGCUAACUCCGUG